GAUGAACGCUGGCGGCGUGCCUAAUACAUGCAAGUCGAGCGAACAGACGAGGAGCUUGCUCCUCUGACGUUAGCGGCGGACGGGUGAGUAACACGUGGAUAACCUACCUAUAAGACUGGGAUAACUUCGGGAAACCGGAGCUAAUACCGGAUAAUAUAUUGAACCGCAUGGUUCAAUAGUGAAAGACGGUUUUGCUGUCACUUAUAGAUGGAUCCGCGCCGCAUUAGCUAGUUGGUAAGGUAACGGCUUACCAAGGCAACGAUGCAUAGCCGACCUGAGAGGGUGAUCGGCCACACUGGAACUGAGACACGGUCCAGACUCCUACGGGAGGCAGCAGUAGGGAAUCUUCCGCAAUGGGCGAAAGCCUGACGGAGCAACGCCGCGUGAGUGAUGAAGGUCUUCGGAUCGUAAAACUCUGUUAUUAGGGAAGAACAAAUGUGUAAGUAACUAUGCACGUCUUGACGGUACCUAAUCAGAAAGCCACGGCUAACUACGUG
RNAcentral lists this ribosomal RNA (497 nucleotides) under uncultured bacterium. RNAcentral describes it as "partial 16S ribosomal RNA". It matches the Rfam family "Bacterial small subunit ribosomal RNA", at positions 28 to 507 of the family's 1533-position model. The record is from RNAcentral.